UUGGUGACUGGAGCAGUCAAAUUUCUCUCGGCGCCGGGUGAGCAGAGAGUCGGGCGGGGGACUGGCGGGGGUGGGGGGGACCAAACUGACGUGUGAGGCGUGGGAGACAGGCGGGGCUCUCGUCUUGUCCCUUCCCUCUCGCUUUGCCAACCUUGAGGCUGCGCAUGUUGGAAACCGGGGACUCAGGGGUCUCGACAUUUACGAAGCGGAUUGGCUCCUGGACUCUGGGGCCUCGAACCCUCUGACGGGCAAGAGCCCCCGCAGCCGAGUGGCCAGCAGUCGGCUGAGUUGGCCGGAGCUGGCGUCUGGACGGGCCGUCCGAGCUCGGCUGGUCCAAGCUUGCAGUUGGCCCCGGCUAUCCGAAUGGCAUGUCCCAAAGAGGGAUGCCCCUUCACCUUGGUCCCAGAAUGAUGGAACAAAGUUGAAGAUGACUGCGAUAGGCCAAUAACCUGAAGAGAAAGAAACCUUCCUAUUUUAUUUAUUCGGCCCAGAAAUCAGUUGCAUUUCUAUACACGAAUAACGAGACUGAAGAAAGCGAAAUUAGGGAAUCCAUCCCAUUUACAAUAGCACCAAAAACCAUACGUUACCUUGGAAUUAACUUAACCAGAGACGUAAAGGACCUAUAUCCUAGAAACUAUAGAUCACUUUUGAAAGAUAUUGAGGAAGACAUAAAAAGAUGGAAAAAUAUUCCAUGCUCAUGGAUUGGAAGAAUUAACAUAGUUAAAAUGUCCAUACUACCCAGAGCAAUCUACACUUUCAAUGCUAUCCCGAUCAAAAUACCGAGGACAUUUUUCAAAGAACUGGAACAAAUAGUCCUUAAAUUUGUAUGGAACCAGAAAAGGCCCCGAAUCUC
RNAcentral lists this long non-coding RNA (853 nucleotides) under Ailuropoda melanoleuca (giant panda). Its description in RNAcentral is "lncRNA (ENSAMEG00000025194.1)". The record is from RNAcentral. Lineage: Eukaryota; Metazoa; Chordata; Mammalia; Carnivora; Ursidae.